Small nuclear RNA from Suncus etruscus (white-toothed pygmy shrew), 162 nucleotides. RefSeq annotates it as U1 spliceosomal RNA. The record is from RefSeq and is a predicted model, not a curated record. Lineage: Eukaryota; Metazoa; Chordata; Mammalia; Eulipotyphla; Soricidae. The transcript has a single exon.
UUUGUCCCCAGGCAGGGGACAUACCAUGAUCACGAAGGUGGUUUUCUCAGGGUGAGGCUUAUCCAUUGCACUCCAGUUGUGCUGACCCCUGUUAUUUCCCCAAAUGUGGGAAACUUGACUGCAUAAUUUUUGGUAGUGGGGACUGCUUUUGCGCUCUCCCCU